Molecule: non-coding RNA, 1418 nt
Organism: Rattus norvegicus (Norway rat)
Lineage: Eukaryota; Metazoa; Chordata; Mammalia; Rodentia; Muridae
Source: RefSeq, a predicted model, not a curated record
GUGGAGGAAAACAACUUGGAUUUGAACAGUUGCUGUGAAUAACACCAUAAACUGAAGAGACAUGAGCCUAGAAGGGGUAGCAAGUGGCUUUCGGAGGACUUCUCUCAUUUGUCUGGGUGCUGCAAGUUCUGGGUAGCAAAGUUACACUAUAUCACUUUCUUCUCUGGCACAUUUUAUUGUUCUGAAGAGAAAGGAAAGACUGCUGGAAAUGAGGUAAAUAAACUUUCUCCUCCCUGGUGUAGUACACAAACAAUUUUUUUCUUUGCCGUAUGGACCUAACUGCUAAUUUUCUUAAAGCCUCCUCUGCCCUUUCCCUUUUGUAACAAACUGGGUAUAUAAAUCUCUAACUUUAGCCUUCUAGCUAACUGGACAAUGUUUAAUGUGUGUUCAUUUGUUUGUUUUUCUAGUUUCCAACCACUCCAUUGUAAAUCUGCCUUUCCCCUGUUGAAUUUGUAGUUUCCCAUCACUGAACGUCUUAAUGCCAACUGAGGUUAAAUACCACACGGGUUGGAUGCAAGUUAUAGAACAAAUAUGAUGGUAAUAAAUUGGAAGUUUCCCCCUUAUGGGCUAGAUCCUGCAGUAUUAGAUAAUGCUGUGUAAGCUGUUUUAGGGUCAAGGGAUUGACAGCUACACCCAGCUAUGAAUUCCAUGAACCACAAUACUGACCAAACAAUCAUGACCAAAGAGGUUUUUCACUCUGGAAAGGAACCCCAGAGAACUGCUUAGCUGAAAUGGUGGAGCGUAAGAUGUCCCCUAAUGGUCUAUAUUUGUACCCCUUCAUCUAUUGCAAUCCUUAAAAAGAUCAACCUUCUAUUUCAUCGAAUGUAGGUAUAGGCAAAGACCCAGAGCUGAACAAGACUGUGAGAAUGAAGGACAGUGCUGGGUUCCAUCUACACAAAGGUCUUAUAUUAAUUAACACCUUACAUCUAAGAUAGCAUUCACAGAAGAGAGUAUUGGAAGGAAUACUAUAAAAUCUGAACAGUGGGGAGAAGGUUUGCAAAGUACAAUCUUAUAAGCAUAAAACAGCCGUGGAAACCAUUAACACAUAGCAACUAUGUAAACAGGCAUUAGUUCCACAGAAGUCAGGAUUCUGAAAGUCACCUACAGAAGAGGAAUGAAUGCAUUGACCAUACAAUGUACUGCUGAUCUAUAGAUUGGGGAUUUCUCUGUGUAGUCCUGCCUGUCCUGAAGCUCCCUCUGUAGAACAGUAUCGCGUGCUUAGUUGGUACAGUUAGAUCAGUGACAGCUAUGAAAGGAAGAGGUCUGAAGACGGGCUCAAUCAAACCACAAAACCAGGCAAGUGGAAAAUUGCAUUUUGUGGCUGUGAGUUAGGUAAGCUGUUACUCGCAUAUGUAUGCACAUAUUUAUUUUCUACGUUUACUCGUUUAGAGGCCCUCACUUCUUUCUUACCAUCCCAG